GAUGAACGCUGGCGGCGUGCCUAAUACAUGCAAGUCGAGCGAACGGACGAGAAGCUUGCUUCUCUGAUGUUAGCGGCGGACGGGUGAGUAACACGUGGAUAACCUACCUAUAAGACUGGGAUAACUUCGGGAAACCGGAGCUAAUACCGGAUAAUAUUUUGAACCGCAUGGUUCAAAAGUGAAAGACGGUCUUGCUGUCACUUAUAGAUGGAUCCGCGUUGCAUUAGCUAGUUGGUAAGGUAACGGCUUACCAAGGCAACGAUGCAUAGCCGACCUGAGAGGGUGAUCGGCCACACUGGAACUGAGGCACGGUCCAGACUCCUACGGGAGGCAGCAGUAGGGAAUCUUCCGCAAUGGGCGAAAGCCUGACGGAGCAACGCCGCGUGAGUGAUGAAGGUCUUCGGAUCGUAAAACUCUGUUAUUAGGGAAGAACAUAUGUGUAAGUAACUGUGCACAUCUUGACGGUACCUAAUCAGAAAGCCACGGCUAACUACGUG
RNAcentral lists this ribosomal RNA (497 nucleotides) under uncultured bacterium. RNAcentral describes it as "partial 16S ribosomal RNA". It matches the Rfam family "Bacterial small subunit ribosomal RNA", at positions 28 to 507 of the family's 1533-position model. The record is from RNAcentral.